RNAcentral lists this ribosomal RNA (227 nucleotides) under uncultured bacterium. RNAcentral describes it as "partial 16S ribosomal RNA". It matches the Rfam family "Bacterial small subunit ribosomal RNA", at positions 568 to 795 of the family's 1533-position model. The record is from RNAcentral.
UACGUAGGUGGCCAUAUAAGUCAGAAGUGAAAGGCUACGGCUUAACCGUAGUAAGCUUUUGAAACUGUAUGGCUUGAGUGCAGGAGAGGAAAGCGGAAUUCCUAGUGUAGCGGUGAAAUGCGUAGAUAUUAGGAAGAACACCAGUAGCGAAGGCGGCUUUCUGGACUGAAACUGACGCUGAGGUACGAAAGCGUGGGGAGCGAACAGGAUUAGAUACCCUGGUAGUC